CAGACAAACCCACAUUGGAUACAGAAUUGAGGGCUUCGAAAAGUGGUACAAGAGACAUUUCGUGAAAAUCGAUAAGAUUUGGCACAGUGGUGUUACCAAAUAUCUUCAGUAAAAGGGGUUAGCCCCCAAGGACAUUUAUGCUGAAACAGCUGUAAGGGUUGAUGAUUAAUUUGCUGUUAAUAAUAAACAAUUAUUAACUUACCAA
This 205-nucleotide long non-coding RNA is filed under the name Octopus vulgaris (common octopus). Lineage: Eukaryota; Metazoa; Mollusca; Cephalopoda; Octopoda; Octopodidae. The record is from RNAcentral.